This 87-nucleotide transfer RNA is filed under the name Pseudomonas aeruginosa. RNAcentral describes it as "tRNA-Leu". It matches the Rfam family "tRNA". Rfam says of the family: Transfer RNA (tRNA) molecules are approximately 80 nucleotides in length. Their secondary structure includes four short double-helical elements and three loops (D, anti-codon, and T loops). Lineage: Bacteria; Pseudomonadati; Pseudomonadota; Gammaproteobacteria; Pseudomonadales; Pseudomonadaceae. The record is from RNAcentral.
GCCCGGAUGGCGAAAUCGGUAGACGCAAGGGGCUUAAAAUCCCUCGGGGGUAACCCCGUGCCGGUUCGACCCCGGCUCCGGGCACCA